CUAUAUAAAUGUCCAUAGGGUUUCCUAAAUGUUUUUUGUUGUCUUCUCCGCCGUUUGAGCUACUUUUCCUGGGAGAAUCCAUGAUGUCGGCGAUCUUCAACCUUCAAUUCGUGAUGCUUGUCCUCGGAUCAUUAACUCGUUGCCUAAGACCUCCAUGAUUCCUGCUAUUAAUAGCUCUCAAAACUGUAUUCUUCUGUAAAUGGGAUAGUACUUCUUUUUUGGCACUGAAAUGAGGGUUUUAGGUCCCUGAGUCAGAUUACAUAUCCAAAUGUGGAAGAGAGGGAGAUAAGGGAUGAUCAAACCCACCAUUCUUGAAUUGUAUUCUGCUUCUCAGGUGUAUUGAUAAGAUCAAACUCACACAACCGUCCCUCAUUACUUGAAGUCCACUUUUGACGGCUGGCUCUGUAUAGUCUAGAUAGUUUUUGGUGUUUGUGAAUGCUUUCUUGGGUUUUAAAUAGGUACUUGCAAGCUGGUUUAGCUCUGUUAGCAAUGACUAUAGCCUUCAGCCUCUUCAUACUUUUUUUCAAUGACAGUCGAAUGUAUAGACAUUGUAGUUUAUCAUUAUUCAGGAUUUUCUUACCUUUGACUUGUAAUUGCUGAAAUGUUGUUAUGCUGAAUCCACCACUAUCAAUUGUUGUGUUUA
Molecule: long non-coding RNA, 643 nt
Organism: Capsicum annuum
Lineage: Eukaryota; Viridiplantae; Streptophyta; Magnoliopsida; Solanales; Solanaceae
Exons: 3
Source: RefSeq, a predicted model, not a curated record